CAGGUUUGAUCCUGGCUCAGGAUGAACGCUAGCGACAGGCUUAACACAUGCAAGUCGAGGGGCAGCAUGAUUUGUAGCAAUACAGAUUGAUGGCGACCGGCGCACGGGUGAGUAACGCGUAUGCAACUUACCUAUCAGAGGGGGAUAGCCCGGCGAAAGUCGGAUUAAUACCCCAUAAAACAGGGGUCCCGCAUGGGAAUAUUUGUUAAAGAUUCAUCGCUGAUAGAUAGGCAUGCGUU
RNAcentral lists this ribosomal RNA (239 nucleotides) under uncultured bacterium. RNAcentral's name for it is "partial 16S ribosomal RNA". It matches the Rfam family "Bacterial small subunit ribosomal RNA", at positions 9 to 237 of the family's 1533-position model. The record is from RNAcentral.